Molecule: long non-coding RNA, 510 nt
Organism: Culicoides brevitarsis
Lineage: Eukaryota; Metazoa; Arthropoda; Insecta; Diptera; Ceratopogonidae
Exons: 3
Source: RefSeq, a predicted model, not a curated record
CCAUAUUGAAAAGAACUUAGAAUAUUUUUGUGAAGACAAAAUUAUUGAAAAUCACGUAAAUUCAAACAUGAUUUUACACAAAAAGUUAAUAAAUUAGUGCAUCAACAAAUAUAAUUGAUGAAACAGAUGGAGUUUAAAUGAAAUAUUUGUCAAAAUUUGGAUUAUUUGAACAAAAAUGUGAACCGGCAAAAUUUGCAGAUAUUCUUCGGUAAAUCAGGAAGAAAAAUUGCAAAAAGGCGUUGAUAAGGUCUUAUAAUACCGAAGUCGAACACAAAAAAUUAUGUUGAAGACGAAAUUUUAUCACAUUUGGCAAGGAAAACUAUCGUUUGUGGCUACAGGUUGUUAAAUUGAAUUUUAGAUUACUUUGGCAAAAAAUGGAAAAAACGGGAACAAAACAUGAAUCGUUUGAGAAGAAAAAAAGGCUUGACAAGGUAAUAUCUACACAUAAUUUGUAAAUUAAGACUCAAUGUAAACUUAAUUUAUGUAAAAAGUAAAAUAAUUUUAAUAAAA